UGGGGAAUAUUGCACAAUGGGCGAAGCCUGAUGCAGCGACGCCGCGUGAAGGAUGAAGUAUUUCGGUAUGUAAACUUCUAUCAGCAGGGAAGAAAAUGACGGUACCUGACUAAGAAGCCCCGGCUAACUACGUGCC
RNAcentral lists this ribosomal RNA (136 nucleotides) under uncultured bacterium. RNAcentral's name for it is "partial 16S ribosomal RNA". It matches the Rfam family "Bacterial small subunit ribosomal RNA", at positions 355 to 509 of the family's 1533-position model. The record is from RNAcentral.